GGGUUGUGAGGUUAAGCGACUAAGCGUACACGGUGGAUGCCUAGGCAAUCAGAGGCGAUGAAGGACGUGCUAAUCUGCGAUAAGCGUCGGUAAGGUGAUAUGAACCGUUAUAACCGACGAUUUCCGAAUGGGGAAACCCAGUGCAAUUCGUUGCACUAUCGUUUGAUGAAUACAUAGUCAAACGAAGCGAACCGAGGGAACUGAAACAUCUCAGUACCUCGAGGAAAAGAAAUCAACCGAGAUUCCCCUAGUAGCGGCGAGCGAACGGGGAGCAGCCCAGAGUCUUAAUCAGCAUUAGCAUCAGGAGAACGGUCUGGAAAGGCCGGCAGUAAAGGGUGAUAGCCCCGUAUCCGAAGGUGUUAGUGUUGUGAACUCGACGAGUAGGGCGGGACACGUGUUAUCCUGUCUGAAUAUGGGGGGACCAUCCUCCAAGGCUAAAUACUCCUGAUUGACCGAUAGUGAACCAGUACCGUGAGGGAAAGGCGAAAAGAACCCCGGCGAGGGGAGUGAAAUAGAACCUGAAACCGUGUACGUACAAGCAGUGGGAGCACCCUUGUGGUGUGACUGCGUACCUUUUGUAUAAUGGGUCAGCGACUUAUAUUCUGUAGCAAGGUUAACCGUAUAGGGGAGCCGUAGGGAAACCGAGUCUUAACUGGGCGAAUGAGUUGCAGGGUAUAGACCCGAAACCCGGUGAUCUAGCCAUGGGCAGGUUGAAGGUUGGGUAACACUAACUGGAGGACCGAACCGACUAAUGUUGAAAAAUUAGCGGAUGACUUGUGGCUGGGGGUGAAAGGCCAAUCAAACCGGGAGAUAGCUGGUUCUCCCCGAAAGCUAUUUAGGUAGCGCCUCGUGAA
This 854-nucleotide ribosomal RNA is filed under the name Providencia alcalifaciens. RNAcentral's name for it is "partial 23S ribosomal RNA". It matches the Rfam family "Bacterial large subunit ribosomal RNA", at positions 1 to 888 of the family's 2925-position model. Lineage: Bacteria; Pseudomonadati; Pseudomonadota; Gammaproteobacteria; Enterobacterales; Morganellaceae. The record is from RNAcentral.